Molecule: ribosomal RNA, 253 nt
Filed under: uncultured bacterium
Lineage: Bacteria
Description: partial 16S ribosomal RNA
Rfam family: Bacterial small subunit ribosomal RNA
Source: RNAcentral
UACGAAGGGGGCUAGCGUUGUUCGGAAUCACUGGGCGUAAAGCGCGUGUAGGCGGCUCGGUAAGUCUGCUCUGAAAGUCAAAGGCUCAACCUUUGAAAGCCGAUGGAUACUGCAGGGCUAGAGUCCGGAAGAGGCGAGUGGAAUUCCUGGUGUAGCGGUGGAAUGCGCAGAUAUCAGGAGGAACACCAAUAGCGAAGGCAGCUCGCUGGGACGGUACUGACGCUAAGGCGCGAAAGCGUGGGGAGCGAACAGG